AUACGUAGGUGGCAAGCGUUGUCCGGAUUUACUGGGCGUAAAGGGUGCGUAGGCGGAUGUUUAAGUGAGAUGUGAAAUCCCCGGGCUUAACCUGGGGGCUGCAUUUCAAACUGGAUAUCUAGAGUGCAGGAGAGGAGAAUGGAAUUCCUAGUGUAGCGGUGAAAUGCGUAGAGAUUAGGAAGAACACCAGUGGCGAAGGCGAUUCUCUGGACUGUAACUGACGCUGAGGCACGAAAGCGUGGGUAGCAAACAGGAUUAGAUACCCUGGUAGUCCACGCCGUAAACGAUGAGUACUAGGUGUAGGAGGUAUCGAUCCCUUCUGUGCCGCAGUUAACACAAUAAGUAUCCCGCCUGGGGAGUACGGCCGCAAGGCUGAA
RNAcentral lists this ribosomal RNA (377 nucleotides) under uncultured bacterium. RNAcentral describes it as "bacterial SSU rRNA". It matches the Rfam family "Bacterial small subunit ribosomal RNA", at positions 523 to 898 of the family's 1533-position model. The record is from RNAcentral.